UACGGAAGGCAGCAGUAGGGAAUCUUCCGCAAUGGACGAAAGUCUGACGGAGCAACGCCGCGUGAACGAUGAAGGCUUUCGGGUCGUAAAGUUCUGUUGUUAGGGAGAACAAGUACCGGAGUAACUGCCGGUACCUUGACGGUACCUAACCAGAAAGCCACGGCUAACUACGUGCCAGCAGCCGCGGUAAUACGUAGGUGGCAAGCGUUGUCCGGAAUUAUUGGGCGUAAAGCGCGCGCAGGUGGUUCUUUAAGUCUGAUGUGAAAGCCCACGGCUCAACCGUGGAGGGUCAUUGGAAACUGGGGAACUUGAGUGCAGAAGAGGAAAGUGGAAUUCCACGUGUAGCGGUGAAAUGCGUAGAGAUGUGGAGGAACACCAGUGGCGAAGGCGACUUUUCUGGUCUGUAACUGACACUGAGGCGCGAAAGCGUGGGGAGCGACAGGGAUUAGAUACC
Molecule: ribosomal RNA, 454 nt
Filed under: uncultured bacterium
Lineage: Bacteria
Description: bacterial SSU rRNA
Rfam family: Bacterial small subunit ribosomal RNA
Source: RNAcentral